This 457-nucleotide ribosomal RNA is filed under the name Pseudomonas aeruginosa. Its description in RNAcentral is "bacterial SSU rRNA". It matches the Rfam family "Bacterial small subunit ribosomal RNA", at positions 20 to 472 of the family's 1533-position model. The record is from RNAcentral. Lineage: Bacteria; Pseudomonadati; Pseudomonadota; Gammaproteobacteria; Pseudomonadales; Pseudomonadaceae.
UGGCUCAGAUUGAACGCUGGCGGCAGGCCUAACACAUGCAAGUCGAGCGGAUGAAGGGAGCUUGCUCCUGGAUUCAGCGGCGGACGGGUGAGUAAUGCCUAGGAAUCUGCCUGGUAGUGGGGGAUAACGUCCGGAAACGGGCGCUAAUACCGCAUACGUCCUGAGGGAGAAAGUGGGGGAUCUUCGGACCUCACGCUAUCAGAUGAGCCUAGGUCGGAUUAGCUAGUUGGUGGGGUAAAGGCCUACCAAGGCGACGAUCCGUAACUGGUCUGAGAGGAUGAUCAGUCACACUGGAACUGAGACACGGUCCAGACUCCUACGGGAGGCAGCAGUGGGGAAUAUUGGACAAUGGGCGAAAGCCUGAUCCAGCCAUGCCGCGUGUGUGAAGAAGGUCUUCGGAUUGUAAAGCACUUUAAGUUGGGAGGAAGGGCAGUAAGUUAAUACCUUGCUGUUUUGA